AGCUGAUCAUGCAUUUUUCUACAAGCCUGCCGGCACCAUUUAGGAUUUUGAAAAAUAAUCUAGAAAUGCUAUACCCUUUAUCAAAAUUAUUCUUUACUUUGCAAGAGCUUAACAGUUUUGGUUUUUUCUUAGCAAUUCUAUAAAAUUAACAUCUAUAAAAUGCAUCCCGGACCAGAUACAUACUGUAUUGAAAGCUUUCUUCAAGAAGAGAAUAUGAGAGUGUUCUUUCCAGCUUAUUUUCUUCCUUAGCAAAAGGAUUGUUUGAUUCUCAGAAGCAGAAGGACACAUUCAUUGUGGAGCAGCUCUGCUUAAGUUUGAACCAAGACUCUGAGGCUGAUAUGCAAUGUCACUUACAACAUUAAUCAGAUACUGCAUUUAAGGUGAGCUGUCCCUUGCCUUCUCCUUCCCCAGUGCUCGUGUGCUGCAUGCAGUGCGUAUCUUGCUUCUGCGAGCCUAAGAUGGCAGGCAGGAUUAGCCGUGCUUGUGCUGUGUGUGCAUGCUGUGUCUAGAAUUCAUUACACGUUGCCUAGUAUUUCAGAUGUGAGUAUGUAAAUGCUCUGUAUGGCAUAUCAUCUGGUAGCGAAGACUUGUUUUUGCCUCAUUACAGCCUUAGAUAUUUCAACAUCACCUUUCAUUUCCAAUUCAUUUGCUUCUGGAUGUUUGCUUUUCAUCACAUUCAAAAUAUGAUUUUACCUUUUUUUUUUUUAACAAAACCAAAACCCCCCACAAACCCUAAAAACAAAAACAACAACAACAAAACUCUGCUACCAGAUGGUGUCUCUCCUUUCUUCGUGCAUUUGCUGUCUUUUAAAUAAUGUAUGUUGUAUUGUUAAUUAAUGUGAAUAUCAAAUUAAACACUUGAAACUUACAUGUUUAUUAUGCAGGUAGGAGGCAAGGUGGAUUCUAUUUUUAACUCUUAUGCACUCCAUCAUGUGCAAGCAACUUGGGUUCUCAAAUUUGUAUAUUCAAUGCUGGUAUCAGUGGUUUGAUUUUCAGCAAAUGUGACAGUGGCCUUUGCAGUG
Molecule: small RNA, 1022 nt
Filed under: Pan troglodytes (chimpanzee)
Lineage: Eukaryota; Metazoa; Chordata; Mammalia; Primates; Hominidae
Description: processed transcript
Source: RNAcentral